GUUUCAAAUCGAUUUGGACCAAUUUUGAGUCAUUUAUGACAUUUCUGGGCCAUUUUUAAGUAAUUCAGGACGUGUUUAAAGUUGUUUGGAUAUUUCUGAGUUAUUCUGGACAAGUUUCAAGUCAAGUUGGAGUCGUAUGGAACAUUUUUUAUUCAUUUGAGCCGUAUUAUGAUGUCAGGAGGUAAUUUGCUGCCUGUUCUAAAAUGAGAUUUAAUUUUGUCUUCUUGUUUCCACAGAAACUCUCCCAGCUUCAGGUCCUUCGAGGAGAAAGUCGAGACGACAGUUUCUACUAUUAAGACCAAAGUGGGAGGAACAGGAAGCGGCGGCAGCUUCGAGGACGUCCUCUCGUCCGCCGCCAACGCCACCUCUCAGGACACGCCCACCAACGACCUGACGGACGGCUCCGAGCGGCCGUGUUAGGACUGAAACCCUAAAACAACCCAAAAAAAACGCUCUGCAGACAAUCAGAAGUCUUCCGAUGCCCGGAUGGAAACUUCCCCCCCCCACCAAAAAAAACCUAAUUAGAAAUAAAGCUGGUUGUUGACGUGA
Stegastes partitus (bicolor damselfish) is the source of this 549-nucleotide long non-coding RNA. RefSeq lists it as uncharacterized. NCBI's taxonomy places the organism in Eukaryota, Metazoa, Chordata, Actinopteri, Pomacentridae. The record is from RefSeq and is a predicted model, not a curated record. The transcript is spliced from 2 exons.